GACGAACGCUGGCGGCGUGCUUAACACAUGCAAGUCGAACGGAAAGGCCCUGCUUUUGUGGGAUGCUCGAGUGGCGAACGAGUGAGUAACAGGAGAGUGACCUGCCGUGGAGGUUGGGGAACCUAAAGAAAAUCUGGUCUAUAACCGGAUGGACGCACGUGAUCAUGGGGGGGGGUGGGAAGGUUCGGCCGGUUGGGAUGGUCUCGGGGCUUAUCAAUUUUGUGGUGGGGGAUUAGCCUUCCAACGAUUUGGAUGGUAGCCGGGCUGAGAAGGGGAACGCCCCCCAUGGGCCUGAGGUACGGCCCAGACUCCUACGGGAGGCAGCAGUGGAGAAUAUUGUACAAUGGUCGGAAGCGUAAUGCAGCAACGUCGCGUGUGGGAUGUCGUCCUUCGCGUUGUAAACCGCUUCCGCCUGUGACGAAGCGGGAGUGACGGUAAUGGGUAAAGAAGCACCGGCUAACUACGUG
RNAcentral lists this ribosomal RNA (467 nucleotides) under uncultured bacterium. Its description in RNAcentral is "partial 16S ribosomal RNA". It matches the Rfam family "Bacterial small subunit ribosomal RNA", at positions 28 to 507 of the family's 1533-position model. The record is from RNAcentral.